Molecule: long non-coding RNA, 1414 nt
Filed under: Homo sapiens (human)
Lineage: Eukaryota; Metazoa; Chordata; Mammalia; Primates; Hominidae
Description: HSALNT0001980
Source: RNAcentral
UUGAAGCUCACCGGUUUCAGAAGCCUGCUGGAUCAUUGGAAAUGCAUUGAAAUGAAUUCAUUGUCCAUGUGUUUAUGGAUGACUUCUGAAAGAAAAAUAGCAAUGUUUGACAUAAGGCCAAGAAAUAGACCAAACUUCCUCAGAACGGAAUGUGAUUUUAGCAAGCUUCCAAAAUUCCAGUUGCUCAUUGAAGCUUAGUGAAGAUAGUCAGACCUCGUGGGAUGGAAAUAGAGGCUGAACAGCACACAGAGAUGCAGAGCCAUCCUGUGAAUAUUUUGGUCUAAGCUGGGGUAAGUCCUUUUCUCAAGGUCCUGACCAGGUCCUUAGGAAUAUGCUGAGCUUAAAACCCUUCCCUUUAAGUUUUUGAAUCUCAAAGAAAAGUGUCCUUUGGAGAUGUUGGAUGAAAGUUGAACAUCGGUAGGUGAAACUCUUUGAGCACUUUGCAAACUACUGCAGCCAGACAGCUCUUUGCAUGAAUUCUGAACUGAAGAAUGUCAUUCAAAUUCUUCUGGGCCCAUUUUCUACCACUCCAAAAGGAAAUGCCCAGAGGAAGGGAAGCCUUGGGAAAACAGAAAUAUUAGGAGGAAGCUGUGAUUUCCAAAUGGCAAGACAGCCCCACCAUCAAUACUUGAAGUUGGUAAGAUAAAUGACGCACUGGAGAGAAUGAGGAUUUGAGGAGUUUAUUGCUUAUAUUUGCAUUGAAGAGACCAGAGUCAGAUAAAUGGAAAAGAGAAUAAUGCAAGACUUGUGGAUGUUGGAUUCAUAAAAAAGAAAGCAAAUGAAAGCUGGAGAUGCCUAAAAAAGACUUCUUAUAUGCCAUGAGAGAUAAGGGCUCCCCUUCUGACAUUAGCAUCUAUUAUCUUCCUGGCUGAAUUCUUCCCUAAAGGGCGCUCGGCAUCCCUAGGUGGUUGCCAGUGUCAAGGCAACCUCACCAACUGUGAAGGUAUCCUGAGCUCCUGGAACAGGCAGAAAAGAAACCUGGCAGGAAGAUUUGGAGGUGGCUGCAAGCUGGCCUGACUUCUGCAGUGAAACAAGUCCCAGGAGCUGGAGGUACACCAUGCUGAGCUCCUGUUUCCUUGGUAGUAAGAGGAGGGGGACUUCCUGGCCUAAGACACAUCUUUCAGGUUGGAGUUGUAAUGACAGUGGUAAUUUUCAACUGUGGAUUAUUGUAAGCUGUUCCAAGCAAGCAUGGAUGACUCCAUUUCAUGGACUGCAGAAAUUCUGUGCCUGUCCUGUCCAGUGAUUGAGUCAUAUCUGGUGCAGGGUAUGGACAAAACAUCUGUAAAAGAAACAGCCCGUAGUAUACAAUAAGAAGGUAAAGAUGUCAAAUAUUUUUAUCUUUUAUUUUUCAGGUAACAAAAAUAUUUUUUUUCCAGACAAAAUCUCCCUUGGAAAUUCACUAUACUAUAUGUAA